AUGGGGUUCAUUUUUAUGGGUUUUGGUAUUAGGGGGUUAAUUUCUGUAGGGUUUGUUUUUAUGGGGUUUGUUUUAGGGUUGUUUCUAUAGGGUUUGGUUUUAUAGGGUUAAUUUUUAUAGGUUCGUUUCUAUAGGGUUAAUUUUUAUAGGGUUUGGUAUUAUGGGGUUAAUUUUUAUGGGUUCGGUAUUAUAGGGUUAAUUUCUUUAGGGUUUGUUUUUAUGGGUUUUUUUAAGGUUGUUUCCAUAGGGUUUGGUAUUAUGGGGUUAAUUUUUAUGGGUUUGGUUUUAUGGGGUUAAUUUUACAGGCUUUGGUAUUAUAGGGUUAAUUUUCAUAGGUUUUGGUUUUAUAGGGUUAAUUUCUAUAGGAUUUGUUUUUAUGUGGUUUUUUAAGGUUGUUUCUAUAGGGUUUGGUAUUAUAGGAUUAAUUUUAUGGGUUCGUUUCUGUAGGGUUUGGUUUUAUGGGGUUAAUUUUUUUAGGUUUGUUUUUAUGGGGUUAAUUUUUAUAGCGUUUGGUAUUAUAGGGUUAAUUUCUACAGGAUUUGUUUUUAUGAGGUUUUUUAGGGUUGUUUCUACAGGGUUUGGUAUUAUAGGGUUAAUUUCUGUAGGGUUUAGUUUUAUGGGGUUAAUUUUUAUGGGUUUUGGUUUUAUAGGGUUAAUUUCUAUAGGGUUUGUUUUUAUGGGGUUAAUUUUUAUGGGUUUGGUUUUAUAGGGUAAUUUCUAUAGGGUUUGUUUUUGGGUAUUUUUAGGGUUUUUUCUAUAGGGUUUGGUUUUAUAGGGUUAAUUUUUAUGGGUUUUGGUUUAAUAGGGUUAAUUUCUAUAGAGGUUUUUAAAUGGGCUUUUAUAGGGUUAAUUUCUAUAGGGUUUGGUAUUAUGGGGUUAAUUUUCUGGGUUCGUUUUUAUAGGUUUUGGUAUUACAGGGUUAAUUUUCUGGGUUGGUUUUAAUGGGUUAAUUUAUCGGUUAAUUUAUCGGUUAAUUGAAUAGGAAAAUUACAGGGUUCAUUUUCCGGGUUCACUUUUAUAGGUGAAUUUAGAGGUUAAUUUAUCGGUUAAUUUAAUAGGAAAAUUACCGGGUUAAUUUUCGGGGCUCGUUUGUGCAGGGUCGGUGCCGGCGGCGCCGCGCACGGACAGACGGACAAAGGGACAGACGGACAAAGGACAAAGGGACAAAG
RNAcentral lists this long non-coding RNA (1169 nucleotides) under Zonotrichia albicollis (white-throated sparrow). RNAcentral's name for it is "lncRNA (ENSZALG00000009316.1)". The record is from RNAcentral. Lineage: Eukaryota; Metazoa; Chordata; Aves; Passeriformes; Passerellidae.